UACGUAGGGGGCAAGCGUUGUCCGGAUUUAUUGGGCGUAAAGAGCGUGUAGGCGGCCAGGCAGGUCCGCUGUGAAAACUCGAGGCUCAACCUCGAGAUGUCGGCGGAAACCAUCUGGCUAGAGUCCGGAAGAGGAGAGUGGAAUUCCUGGUGUAGCGGUGAAAUGCGCAGAUAUCAGGAAGAACACCCGUGGCGAAGGCGGCUCUCUGGGACGGUACUGACGCUGAGACGCGAAAGCGUGGGGAGCGAACAGG
This 253-nucleotide ribosomal RNA is filed under the name uncultured bacterium. RNAcentral's name for it is "partial 16S ribosomal RNA". It matches the Rfam family "Bacterial small subunit ribosomal RNA", at positions 524 to 776 of the family's 1533-position model. The record is from RNAcentral.